RNAcentral lists this ribosomal RNA (510 nucleotides) under uncultured bacterium. RNAcentral's name for it is "partial 16S ribosomal RNA". It matches the Rfam family "Bacterial small subunit ribosomal RNA", at positions 28 to 523 of the family's 1533-position model. The record is from RNAcentral.
GACGAACGCUGGCGGCGUGCCUAAUACAUGCAAGUCGAGCGGACUUAAAAAGCUUGCUUUUUAAGUUAGCGGCGGACGGGUGAGUAACACGUGGGCAACCUGCCUGUAAGACUGGGAUAACUUCGGGAAACCGGAGCUAAUACCGGAUAAUCCUUUCCUACUCAUGUAGGAAAGCUGAAAGACGGUUUACGCUGUCACUUACAGAUGGGCCCGCGGCGCAUUAGCUAGUUGGUGAGGUAACGGCUCGCCAAGGCGACGAUGCGUAGCCGACCUGAGAGGGUGAUCGGCCACACUGGGACUGAGACACGGCCCAGACUCCUACGGGAGGCAGCAGUAGGGAAUCUUCCGCAAUGGACGAAAGUCUGACGGAGCAACGCCGCGUGAGUGAUGAAGGUUUUCGGAUCGUAAAACUCUGUUGUUAGGGAAGAACAAGUACGAGAGUAACUGCUCGUACCUUGACGGUACCUAACCAGAAAGCCACGGCUAACUACGUGCCAGCCGCCGCGGUAA